Molecule: long non-coding RNA, 644 nt
Filed under: Dermacentor andersoni
Lineage: Eukaryota; Metazoa; Arthropoda; Arachnida; Ixodida; Ixodidae
Description: uncharacterized LOC126521901
Source: RNAcentral
ACAGCACGGAACCGAGGCGACGCUCGUCUUCACGUCUCUGCAGCGGAACCUGCGAAAGCCACCAGAGCACUUGCGGGAGUGGUGCGAAGCAGUCUGCGUUUUGUACCGUCAGCAGUAACCGGAGGCCGUUGGGCAGUGUCCGGUAAUUUAGCAAGAAAGUGAAUAGAUUUGGUAACCAUGAGAAAAGGCAAUGCCAAGCUCGGACGUGCCGACAGACACGCUUACCAACGGAACGUAGACAAACCGGACAAGCGCCGGCCGGCAGAAUCGCAAAGCGAGCCGGGCUCUCCAAAGCUUGUAACCGAGGGGGACGACCUUAGGACCCCUGCCAUCGGCACCCCUCCCGCAGCCGCCAUCACCACCGCGGUGGAAGACCACCCCACGGAUCCGACGGGUUCCCCUGAAAGGCGCAUUGUCAUUUACGUAGAUGAGCCAGCGACAUCACUGCCACCUAUCGGCGGGACAGCUGCGCAACGGGAGCCUCAAGAGCAUCGAGAGAAGGAGCACAGGGAAUUAGUUGCACCGGAGAUUCCGUCCCCGGCGGUGCAGCAAGCGAACCAACCGAUGGCAGUCGAAGCGGCGACGAAAGGCUCGAAGUCCCAGGUGCCACUGCUACUUUUAUUGCGUUCGAUUCGCAUAAAGGA